GUGGUCAGUGACUGGAAAUUUAAUUACACGUGUAUUGUCAGAUUAACUCUUCAAUCAAUUUAAAUGCCGGAGGUCAUGUUUUGACAUAUGUGUACUAGUUCGAGAUAAAUAAUGAAUUUUUAAUGCUUUUGUUAACCUUGGGAUCGUAAAUUUAGUUCGACUCAACCGAAAUUUCGACUAAUCCAAUUUCGACUCAUCAGGAGUCGAAUUACAUACAUUUAUAUGGAACAAAGUUCGGGACCACGUGAAAACUUCGACUCAUCCGAAAUUUCGAGUCAACCGAGUUCGAGACAACGAGAGUUAACUGUAUUUGAAUUUUACAUU
RNAcentral lists this long non-coding RNA (324 nucleotides) under Mytilus galloprovincialis (Mediterranean mussel). The record is from RNAcentral. Lineage: Eukaryota; Metazoa; Mollusca; Bivalvia; Mytilida; Mytilidae.